CAAUUUUCCACACUAAAAAAUACUCUUCCACAGCUUUCAAAGUCUAAGAAAUGGCUCCAACAGUAGCAGAAUCAGUCACUGAGUCUUUUGAUCUCACUGAUUUUGUGAUCAACCAAGGGAAUGGAGUAAAGGGUCUUUCUGAUUUGGGCAUCAAAAGCCUUCCCAGGCAAUAUAUCCAACCCCAGGAAGCAUUGAUCGAUAUAAUCCCAAAUGAAUCUAUACCUGUCAUUGACAUGUCAAACUGGGAAAAUGAUCCCAAGGUCGCUGAAUCUGUCUGUGAAGCUGCAGAGAAAUUUGGGUUCUUUCAGCUUCUUAACCAUGGUGUGCCUCUUGAGGUGCUUAAGGGUGUUGAGGAUGCAACUCAUCGUUUCUUUGGGCUA
RNAcentral lists this unclassified non-coding RNA (380 nucleotides) under Hevea brasiliensis (rubber tree). The record is from RNAcentral. Lineage: Eukaryota; Viridiplantae; Streptophyta; Magnoliopsida; Malpighiales; Euphorbiaceae.